AGAGUUUGAUCAUGGCUCAGGACGAACGCUGGCGGCGUGCUUAACACAUGCAAGUCGAACGGAAAGGCCCUGCUUUUGUGGGGUGCUCGAGUGGCGAACGGGUGAGUAACACGUGAGUAACCUGCCCUUGACUUUGGGAUAACUUCAGGAAACUGGGGCUAAUACCGGAUAGGAGCUCCUGCUGCAUGGUGGGGGUUGGAAAGUUUCGGCGGUUGGGGAUGGACUCGCGGCUUAUCAGCUUGUUGGUGGGGUAGUGGCUUACCAAGGCUUUGACGGGUAGCCGGCCUGAGAGGGUGACCGGCCACAUUGGGACUGAGAUACGGCCCAGACUCCUACGGGAGGCAGCA
This 347-nucleotide ribosomal RNA is filed under the name uncultured Propionibacteriaceae bacterium. RNAcentral describes it as "bacterial SSU rRNA". It matches the Rfam family "Bacterial small subunit ribosomal RNA", at positions 8 to 353 of the family's 1533-position model. Lineage: Bacteria; Bacillati; Actinomycetota; Actinomycetes; Propionibacteriales; Propionibacteriaceae. The record is from RNAcentral.